This 440-nucleotide ribosomal RNA is filed under the name uncultured bacterium. RNAcentral describes it as "partial 16S ribosomal RNA". It matches the Rfam family "Bacterial small subunit ribosomal RNA", at positions 338 to 795 of the family's 1533-position model. The record is from RNAcentral.
CCUACGGGUGGCAGCAGUGGGGGAUAUUGCACAAUGGGGGGAACCCUGAUGCAGCGACGCCGCGUGGGUGAAGAAGCGCCUCGGCGCGUAAAGCCCUGUCAGCAGGGAAGAAAAUGACGGUACCUGAAGAAGAAGCCCCGGCUAACUACGUGCCAGCAGCCGCGGUAAUACGUAGGGGGCAAGCGUUAUCCGGAUUUACUGGGUGUAAAGGGGGCGCAGACGGCGAUGCAAGCCAGGAGUGAAAGCCCGGGGCUCAACCCCGGGACUGCUCGUGGAACUGCGUGGCUGGAGUGCAGGAGGGGCAGGCGGAAGUCCUGGUGUAGCGGUGAAAUGCGUAGAUAUCAGGAGGAACACCGGUGGCGAAGGCGGCCUGCUGGACUGCAACUGACGUUGAGGCCCGAAAGCGUGGGGAGCAAACAGGAUUAGAUACCCCAGUAGUC